UACGUAGGGAGCGAGCGUUGUCCGGAAUUACUGGGUGUAAAGGGAGCGUAGGCGGGGAUGCAAGUUGGGUGUCAAAACUACCGGCUCAACUGGUAGUCGCACUCAAAACUGCAGCUCUUGAGUGAAGUAGAGGCAGGCGGAAUUCCUAGUGUAGCGGUGAAAUGCGUAGAUAUUAGGAGGAACACCAGUGGCGAAGGCGGCCUGCUGGGCUUUUACUGACGCUGAGGCUCGAAAGUGUGGGGAGCAAACAGG
This 252-nucleotide ribosomal RNA is filed under the name uncultured bacterium. RNAcentral describes it as "partial 16S ribosomal RNA". It matches the Rfam family "Bacterial small subunit ribosomal RNA", at positions 524 to 776 of the family's 1533-position model. The record is from RNAcentral.